RNAcentral lists this ribosomal RNA (500 nucleotides) under uncultured bacterium. Its description in RNAcentral is "partial 16S ribosomal RNA". It matches the Rfam family "Bacterial small subunit ribosomal RNA", at positions 30 to 523 of the family's 1533-position model. The record is from RNAcentral.
AUUGAACGCUGGCGGCAGGCCUAACACAUGCAAGUCGAGCGGAUGACGGGAGCUUGCUCCUUGAUUCAGCGGCGGACGGGUGAGUAAUGCCUAGGAAUCUGCCCGGUAGUGGGGGACAACGUUUCGAAAGGAACGCUAAUACCGCAUACGUCCUACGGGAGAGAGCAGGGGACCUUCGGGCCUUGCGCUAUCAGAUGAGCCUAGGUCGGAUUAGCUAGUUGGUGGGGUAAUGGCUCACCAAGGCGACGAUCCGUAACUGGUCUGAGAGGAAGAUCAGUCACACUGGAACUGAGACACGGUCCAGACUCCUACGGGAGGCAGCAGUGGGGAAUAUUGGACAAUGGGCGAAAGCCUGAUCCAGCCAUGCCGCGUGUGUGAAGAAGGUCUUCGGAUUGUAAAGCACUUUAAGUUGGGAGGAAGGGCAGUAAGCUAAUACCUUGCUGUUUUGACGUUACCGACAGAAUAAGCACUGGCUAACUCUGUGCCAGCCGCCGCGGUAA